Molecule: ribosomal RNA, 318 nt
Filed under: uncultured Legionella sp.
Lineage: Bacteria; Pseudomonadati; Pseudomonadota; Gammaproteobacteria; Legionellales; Legionellaceae
Description: bacterial SSU rRNA
Rfam family: Bacterial small subunit ribosomal RNA
Source: RNAcentral
AGCAGCCGCGGUAAUACGGAGGGUGCGAGCGUUAAUCGGAAUUACUGGGCGUAAAGGGUGCGUAGGUGGUUGAAUAAGUUAUCUGUGAAAUCCCUGGGCUCAACCUGGGAAGGUCAGAUAAGACUGUUUGACUCGAGUAUGGGAGAGGGUAGUGGAAUUUCCGGUGUAGCGGUGAAAUGCGUAGAGAUCGGAAGGAACACCAGUGGCGAAGGCGGCUACCUGGCCUAAUACUGACACUGAAGCACGAAAGCGUGGGGAGCAAACAGGAUUAGAUACCCUGGUAGUCCACGCCGUAAACGAUGUCAACUAGCUGUUGGA